GUCGACCCUAUGCAACCAACUGAGCUUGGCACCGCCCUUUCGGCUUUAACCAUCAAUCAACCCAUGGCACAGUGGAACAUGGAUACCGGGGCAUCUUCGCACAUCACUUCGGAUCAAGGGUCUCAAGACUGGACAACCUCUUUCGCGCCAUGAUAGCACCAGUGAUCUUUACCCAUUUACCCCACCCCGUCAAGUCCUUUUUGCAGCUGAAACCAAUAAGUGGCACGAUCGUCUUGGACAUCCUGGCACACAAGUUUUAAAAUUUCUUUCUAGUCGUUUUAAUAUUCCUUGUAAUGAACAAUCUUUUGCAUUUUGUGACUCUUGCCAUUUAUCUAACAGUAAACGGCUUUCUUUUACUA
Helianthus annuus (common sunflower) is the source of this 359-nucleotide long non-coding RNA. RefSeq lists it as uncharacterized. The record is from RefSeq and is a predicted model, not a curated record. Lineage: Eukaryota; Viridiplantae; Streptophyta; Magnoliopsida; Asterales; Asteraceae. The transcript has 2 exons.